RNAcentral lists this non-coding RNA (30 nucleotides) under Homo sapiens (human). Lineage: Eukaryota; Metazoa; Chordata; Mammalia; Primates; Hominidae. The record is from RNAcentral.
UGACAUCCGCCGGACCAAUGUGCCAGACAU